CCCAACUCUCAGCGGCGUACUCUUCCCAACGAGGAUCUUGACCUGACGCCGUGUCUUGGUGGGAAAAACAGAUUCGUUACGUCGCCGCGACGCUGUUCCUAACACUCGCGCACGUCGGAUAGAUUUACGCGCGUUUUCAUACUCGAGGAAAAGUGGACCGGAGUCGGGUUCCGGCGAGAUCGUACACACGUCGGAGCAAGGACACGGGUUUAAAAAGAAAGUGGGUGUGACAGAUCGAAACAGAAGGAUGGAAGAGGAUGGAAAGAAGUAGAGAUAGAGAGAUGGAAGAAGGUAGGAAGAACUGACGGGAAGAGAGAAGGAACGAUGGAUAAAAAGAAAGGAAGAAGGGCAGAUGUACAAAAUGAAGAACGGAAGGAUGAGGAAAAGGAGGACUGGAAUACGGAGGCAGGACGGACGAAGUGGGGGGUGGGGGUGGGUGGGGGGGGACGGAUGGAAGGAAGGACACAAAAGGAAGAGUGGGAAAAGAAAGAAAACGAUGGAAGGAGCGCCAGGAAGAAGGGAGAUCAAAAGCGUGAAUGAGUGGAAUGGAGCGAGGGGAAUAAAGAAGGAAGGAAGGAAGAAAAAGGAAAUAAGGAAGGAAGGAGGGAAGGAAAGAAGGCGAGAAGGAAGGAAGGAAGGAAGGAAGGAAAGAAGGAAAGAAGGAAAGAAGGCGAGAGGUAAGGAAGGAAGGAAGGAAGGAAGGAAGAAAAAGGAAAUAAGGAAGGAAGGAAAGAAGGCGAGAAGGAAGGAAGGAAGGAAGGAAGGAAGGAAAGAAGGAAGGAAGGAAAGAAGGAAGGAAGGAAAGAAGGCGAGAAGGAAGGAAGGAAGGAAGGAAGGAAGGAAGGACAGAAGGAAAGAAGGAAAGAAGGAAGGAAAGAAGGAAGGAAGGAAGGAAGGAAAGAAGGAAGGAAGGAAGGAAAGAAGGAAGGAAGGAAAGAAGGAAGGAAAGAAGGAAGGAAAGAAGGCGAGAAGGAAGGAAGGAAGGGCAUACAGACCGAAUGAUAGAAUGAAAGAUAUAAGGAAGGACGGAUUGAAGAAAGCAGCAGAAGGAAGAAUUGAAUGGAUGAAAGGAAUGGCAGAAGGAAGGAGGAAGAGUGAGAAGAAUGCAGGAAGAAGAACUGAGAGUAAAGAAGAAAUGAAAAGACGGAUAGGAAAGCGAAUGUUAGUAAAAAGAAAGAACUGAACAAUUCUGCCACGGUUACAGCUGUAUCUCUCCUUCCUGUUUUCUUUCCUUUCUCUCGCCUCGUCUUUCUCUAUUGUUCUCUGUUUAUCCUGUCUUCUUUCUCUCCUCUUUUCCUGCAUU
Molecule: long non-coding RNA, 1303 nt
Organism: Ictalurus punctatus (channel catfish)
Lineage: Eukaryota; Metazoa; Chordata; Actinopteri; Siluriformes; Ictaluridae
Source: Ensembl